Molecule: unclassified non-coding RNA, 585 nt
Filed under: Pseudopyrenochaeta terrestris
Lineage: Eukaryota; Fungi; Ascomycota; Dothideomycetes; Pleosporales; Pseudopyrenochaetaceae
Description: sequence contains ITS1, 5.8S rRNA gene, ITS2
Rfam family: 5.8S ribosomal RNA (bases 223-376)
Source: RNAcentral
UCGUAACAAGGUUUCCGUAGGUGAACCUGCGGAAGGAUCAUUAACUGUAUUACGGGGGGCCGGCGUGGGAUUGCGUGCUUUGGUGCGCCUUCCCUCCCCGCCCUGUCUGAUACUACCCGUGUCUUUUGCGUACCAAUUGUUUCCUCGGUAGGCUUGCCUGCCGGCCGGACACCAUAAAACCUUUUGUGAUUGCAGUCAGCGUCAGAAAACUACAAUAAUUACAACUUUCAACAACGGAUCUCUUGGUUCUGGCAUCGAUGAAGAACGCAGCGAAAUGCGAUAAGUAGUGUGAAUUGCAGAAUUCAGUGAAUCAUCGAAUCUUUGAACGCACAUUGCGCCCCUUGGUAUUCCAUGGGGCAUGCCUGUUCGAGCGUCAUUUGUACCCUCAAGCUCUGCUUGGUGUUGGGUGUUUGUCCCGCUUUGCGCGUGGACUCGCCUCAAAGCAAUUGGCAGCCGGCAAUCUGGUUAUAGAGCGCAGCACAUUUUGCGCUUCUUGCCACGGAUGUCGGCGUCCAUCAAGCCUACACUUUUGCUCUUGACCUCGGAUCAGGUAGGGAUACCCGCUGAACUUAAGCAUAUCAAUAA